Molecule: non-coding RNA, 1949 nt
Organism: Arachis ipaensis
Lineage: Eukaryota; Viridiplantae; Streptophyta; Magnoliopsida; Fabales; Fabaceae
Source: RefSeq, a predicted model, not a curated record
CUUGAGACACUAGCAUUUUCAAUGCUCUUCUUAUUUGAUGUUAGACUGGAUGUGUUUCGUUUCAGUUUUUAUUUUCAGUAUUUUUUUUCUAAGAAAAAUAGAGUUACAUUAUUUUCCAAAUUAAUCAGAUAUGCAGUAGUGAGUGGAGCAAACAAAGGAAUUGGAACAGAAAUAGUAAGGCAAUUAGCUUCAAAUGGAGUGAAGGUUGUGUUGACUUCAAGAGAUGAGAAGAGAGACCUUCAUGCUUUGGAAACUCUCAAAGAUCUCUCUCAUCUUGUCCUCUUUCACCAGCUUGUUGUUGCUGAUCCUGCUACUGUGGAUUCUCUUGCAAAUUUCAUCAAAUCCGAAUUUGGAAAACCCCACAUUUUGAUCAACAAUGCAGGGAUUGGUGGACUUGUGAUUAAGGACAAUGAUUUGGUCCCUCAAGUGUUAUUGAAAAGCAGGGAAUUAUCAGAUGAUGUAAUAGAGAAAGCCGGAAUCGUUCAAACAUUCGAGCUAGCUGAAGAAUGCUUGCAAAUAAAAUAUUAUGGUGCUAAAAGAAUAUCUGAAGCCCUUCUCCCUCUUCUCCAAUUAUCUGAAUCACCAAGAAUUAUGAAUGUAUCAUCCUCCCUAGGAAAGUUAAAGCUAGUUGAAUCGUUGAGACGAAAUUAUCUGGAAAUGAAUAAUUUUCAAGAUCAUCUGCAAACAUCUUCAGCUCGGGACAAUGAUAAACAUCCAUCUCUUUUAACUCAGGCCAAUCUAGAAUUUGCAUCCCUGACCAAAUGCACCUUAGAGCUGGCGAUUCCCAAAGAGUCAAGCAGCAUUAAGAUCAUGGUGGAAGACCGAAUCAUCACUCGAGUUAUUGGAGGAAGGCUAUAGUACUAGUGUUAUCAAUUUUGGACAUUCGACACAGCUGCUUUGACAAGUAUACUAUUCUAACCCAUUGAUGGAUUGCAACACACAUAAUUUGAAGAGCUCUAAAUGCAAGAGGUCUUGAUAAAUGCAAGGUUGACAAGCUUGGACUGUGCCAAGACCAGCAUGUCGUCAAAGUUGAUAGCUGGUGACACCGACUUCUUUGCCAACUUGGUAUGUUUGAAGUUAAAUACCCAAUCAAGGGAAUCAAUAUAUUGAAGCCUCAUGGAAAAAGUGCUAGAGACAGCUUUCUGAUAUAUAUAUUUGAGUUCUGCUAACUGAAAGGAAAGAGCUUCUCAAGACCCAGUUGGUGGGAAAGUCCGGUGUUACCCCCAAUGUUGCAACCUCUUUCAUUGAGACACUUGAAGCCAAUGAGCUUCUCAAGAUUAAAAUACAUAGGAGUUGCCCUGGUGAGUUGGAAGAUGUGGUGAAGCAGCUGGAACAAGCAACCGGUUCAGUGGCAGUUGGUCUUGGUAGGUCAGAUGUAUUAUAGUGGUUAUGGUGUUCCCAGAGAUGACCAGAAGGUGUGUUCUUUCUUUUAUUUUGGUUAUGGUUAUUAGUUAUUACAAAUUAAUAAUGCUUUUCAAUCAAUUUUCAUUGCAUUGGACUUUCUUGAGCUUGUUAAGAGUUUGAGGUUCUGUUGUAUUAUACUAUUUGAGAAUGUUCAUGUUAAUUGACAAUAGAAUCUUCAGGUGGUGACUAUGAAAAAUUGAAGAAAAAUAUUAGCAUUCUCUAUUGGUCUUAAUUUUAGUAAUGAGAUCAAUUUUGAUGCUGAUAAUGCAUAUACACUAUUAGGCAAUUAAAUCUUGUUUGUUAUAUAACUUUUAAGAUAGUGGGGAUAAGACUUAAGAGUCAAAUAAUUUCAAUGACCGAGUUAUAUAUGAAUAGAUGACUGUCUAUUUAGUUAGGUAUGCACAAUUAGAUGCACUUAAAUGGAUGCUUCAUGUGGAGUUGUGGACAAAUCUAUAAUAGUAGCAUAGAAUGCUUUAUCAUGGAUGCAAAUCUAAUAUCCAUGCUAAUAACAAUGCCAGAUUUUUCUGUUGAAGACGACUUCACAG